Molecule: ribosomal RNA, 505 nt
Filed under: uncultured bacterium
Lineage: Bacteria
Description: partial 16S ribosomal RNA
Rfam family: Bacterial small subunit ribosomal RNA
Source: RNAcentral
GACGAACGCUGGCGGCGUGCCUAAUACAUGCAAGUAGAACGCACAGUUUAUACCGUAGCUUGCUACACCAUAGACUGUGAGUUGCGAACGGGUGAGUAACGCGUAGGUAACCUGCCUGGUAGCGGGGGAUAACUAUUGGAAACGAUAGCUAAUACCGCAUAAUAUUAAUUAUUGCAUGAUAAUUAAUUGAAAGGUGCAAUUGCACCACUACCAGAUGGACCUGCGUUGUAUUAGCUAGUAGGUGAGGUAACGGCUCACCUAGGCGACGAUACAUAGCCGACCGGAGAGGGUGAUCGGCCACACUGGGACUGGGACACGGCCCAGACUCCUACGGGAGGCAGCAGUAGGGAAUCUUCGGCAAUGGACGAAAGUCUGACCGAGCAACGCCGCGUGAGUGAAGAAGGUUGUCGGAUCGUAAAGCUCUGUUGUAAGAGAAGAACGGGUGUGAGAGUGGAAAGUUCACACUGUGACGGUAUCUUACCAGAAAGGGACGGCUAACUACGUG